GAGAGGUACCAAAUAUCUCCCAUCACUCUUGCUUGGGAUGAAUGAUGCUGCCAGGGACUAAGCACACCACCUCCUUGCUGUUUUCAGUGGAAGUGAGAGAUGCCCCUCAUCCAACAGGAUCUGUUCCCUGAGAAGCCAUGGAGCCGGCAAGGGAUAGCUGUUUCUCUAUACUGAUGGAAAUCGAACACUGAGAAACCUCAGACUUUCUGCGAAGUUUUGGAGUCGGCCACAGGAGGGCAGUGGAUCCAGCCCAACCUGCAAAGAAAUCUGUCUCUUCUGGCUGAAAUACGACAUACACAAAGCAGACUGUAGAGGUCACUUUGCACCAAGAGAUGGUUGGGUCUGAGGCGUGAGUGUCCCGCUGGCUUUCCCCAAGAGGAAAACAGUCGAUAUGCCUAAAUCAGAAAAGUUUGGUGUUAUGCCAGCCCAUGCAAGAAGCUGUCCUGAAUUAUAUCUUCAAGCAAAUGGACUCUUGUGGGGCUUUAAAAUGCUGAACACCUUCUUGGCAGAGUCUCAUUGAAUAAAAGUCAAGAACCUCAUGAAUUUCCCUCAAUAAAACAAAUGUACAACAAAAUCAGAGCUUUGGGUUACCUCAUUGAAGCAGAGUUGUUGAAGGCUGACCAUGAGCUGUGGUAGAGCAACCAGCAUGCAAAUGGCUCUGCUGCAGAGCAGGAUCCCCACAAGGCAGCAUGGCCUGUUGGAGCUGAUGGAGGAGAACUCCUCAACAUGUCAGUACUGGUUUGGGUGGCUGCCAGGGCAGGGCUGGGAGAAGGAGGGCUGGUGAACCACAGGUGUCAUGGAUAGGAUUGCAGAUGUCAGGUCUGGGGAGAAGUGUACACAUGUGCAACAACCAGCAGAUUCAUGUGCAUGCAUGCAUUUGUACCAGAGUGGGUACCCUGUCUCCAACCUUGUAUAUACACACUCCUUGAACACAAGAGUGAAUGCACACUUGCCUGUACACACUCAGCAACCCCUCCAGGCACAAGAACCCUGCUCAUCCGUGUCUGGUCCCAGUUGCAUUUUUCCACCUUCCCCUUUGCACAGUCUCACAGACAUGUCUAUGUCUGUUAGCUGGGCUGGGAAUCCAUAGUCCAA
This is a non-coding RNA of Anas platyrhynchos (mallard), 1095 nucleotides long. Lineage: Eukaryota; Metazoa; Chordata; Aves; Anseriformes; Anatidae. The record is from RefSeq and is a predicted model, not a curated record.